CGGCAUGUGGAGCAAGGCGCGCUGCCUGGCCGCCCUGGAGAGCCGGCUGCCGGACGCGUACACGGUCGACGUGGCGUUCAAGCUGCCGGUGCCGC
This 95-nucleotide transfer RNA is filed under the name Micromonospora sp. MW-13. RNAcentral's name for it is "tRNA-Ser". Lineage: Bacteria; Bacillati; Actinomycetota; Actinomycetes; Micromonosporales; Micromonosporaceae. The record is from RNAcentral.